Long non-coding RNA from Thunnus maccoyii (southern bluefin tuna), 856 nucleotides. RefSeq lists it as uncharacterized. The record is from RefSeq and is a predicted model, not a curated record. The transcript is spliced from 3 exons. NCBI's taxonomy places the organism in Eukaryota, Metazoa, Chordata, Actinopteri, Scombriformes, Scombridae.
CGCAAGCAAGAUGGCAGCUUCCGGAAAGGAGAUGUCUUGGCUUCACUUUUGCAUAGCGGUUUUAACCAGCUGGAAGAAGCUCUGUGAAGCUGGAUACUGAGAGGAUGUGAACAUAUCAGACAGCAGAAGAAACCAGACAAGGGUGCCUGGGUCUGCACUGGGUUCCUUUGGGGUCGCCUCCUGCAUCUGUGGAUGAGGAGUCUCCUGAUAGAGAGAGAACUCCAUCGACCUGUCGGGGAGGCAACACAAAUCAAUACAGCACGCCACAAACAAGAAGCAGGCAGUGGAGGGUAAAACCACAGUGAGAAUAAGUCUUGAAAUUAAAGUUUUAUUUCACCCUAAUGCAGUUUAGGGAGGAAUGUCCUUGAAAAUUCAUAAAAUUCAUGUGAAACAUGCAUGCAUUUCCACAAUUUAUUUCUUAAGUUGUCAAGUUUUACUGUGUAAAUAUGACUCAUUUUCUUUUUUGGGCAAUUCAUGGAAGCCUAUGAGCUCUAUGUGAGAGUGUUUUUGAUCAGGAAACAAUCACAAUUGAGAGCCUGGAUGUUGGCACGAGGCAGCCAGCAGCAGCAGGAGAUAAUGCUGACAACGCAAAAAACCAAACACAAACAGAAAUAAAACAACCUAGAUUGUAAAAGUCACAGGAUGAUAGAUGGAUUGGUUUGGGAUAGAGUGAGAGUAAUGGAACCAUCCUUGGCUGCCGGCUUCCAGUGAGACAGAAGUUAAAGCAAAUCUCAGUGGUGCAGACUGACUGAGUGGCUGUAUGUACAAACAUGCAUGUUGAUAUUCAUAGUUUGCAAAAUUCUUACGGUGGUACGAACCAUAGUCAGCACCACAAUUAUGUAAUUUACAAGAUAAU